Molecule: ribosomal RNA, 790 nt
Filed under: uncultured archaeon
Lineage: Archaea
Description: bacterial SSU rRNA
Rfam family: Archaeal small subunit ribosomal RNA
Source: RNAcentral
ACGGCUCAGUAACACGUCGAUAAUCUGCCCUAAGGUGGGGGAUAACCUCGGGAAACUGAGGGUAAUACCCUAUAUGAGAAGGGUUAUGGAAAAAACUUCUCGAAAAAGUAAUGCCUUAGGAUGAGUCGGCGGCCGAUUAGGCUGUUGGUGGGGUAAUGGCCCACCAAACCUAUGAUCGGUAGGGGCCCUGAAAGGGGUAGCCUCGAGAAGGACACUGAGGUACUGGUCCUAGCCCUACGGGGUGCAGCAGGCGCGAAAACUUUACACUACACGAAAGUGUGAUAAGGGAAUCCCAAGUGCUUAUACACAUGUAUAGGCUUUUGCCAAGUGUAAAUAACUUGGCGAAUAAGUGGUGGGCAAGACGGGUGCCAGCAGCCGCGGUAACACCCGCGCCACGAGUGGUGAUCGGAAUUAUUGGGCCUAAAGCGUCCGUAGCCGGCUUUGCAAAUCCUUUGUGAAAUCGUUGCGCUCAACGUAACGGCGUGCAAGGGACACUACAAAGCUAGAGACCAGGAGGGGCAAGAGGUAUUCUGUGGGGAGCGGUAAAAUGCUAUAAUCCACGGAGGACCACCGAUGGCGAAGGCAUCUUGCCAGAAUGGAUCUGACGGUGAGGGACGAAAGCCAGGGGAGCAAACCGGAUUAGAUACCCGAGUAGUCCUGGCUGUAAACUCUGCUAGCAAGGUGUUGCGCUUUCCUCGUGAAAGCGCAGUAUCGAAGAGAAGUCGUUAAGCUAGCCGCCUGGGAAGUAUGGUCGCAAGGCUGAAACUUAAAGGAAUUGGCGGGGGAGCAC